AGUGAACGCUGGCGGUAGGCCUAACACAUGCAAGUCGAACGGCAGCACAGUAAGAGCUUGCUCUUACGGGUGGCGAGUGGCGGACGGGUGAGGAAUACAUCGGAAUCUACUUUUUCGUGGGGGAUAACGUAGGGAAACUUACGCUAAUACCGCAUACGACCUACGGGUGAAAGCAGGGGAUCUUCGGACCUUGCGCGAUUGAAUGAGCCGAUGUCGGAUUAGCUAGUUGGCGGGGUAAAGGCCCACCAAGGCGACGAUCCGUAGCUGGUCUGAGAGGAUGAUCGGCCACACUGGAACUGAGCCACGGUCCAGACUCCUACGGGAGGCAGCAGUGGGGAAUAUUGGACAAUGGGCGCAAGCCUGAUCCAGCCAUACCGCGUGGGUGAGGAAGGCCUUCGGGUUGUAAAGCCCUUUUGUUGGGAAAGAAAAGCAGCAGGUUAAUACCCCGCUGUUCUGACGGUACCCAAAGAAUAAGCACCGGCUAACUUCGUG
This 492-nucleotide ribosomal RNA is filed under the name uncultured bacterium. RNAcentral describes it as "partial 16S ribosomal RNA". It matches the Rfam family "Bacterial small subunit ribosomal RNA", at positions 29 to 507 of the family's 1533-position model. The record is from RNAcentral.